UGAAAUGCGAUAACUAGUGUGAAUUGCAUUAUCUCGUGAAUCAUCGAGUCUUUGAACGCAUCUUGCACUUUUUAGGUCUCCUGAAAAGUAUACUUGUUUGAGUAUCAUAAACACACUCCAUCCGCCGACACUGGCUAGCGCCGCUGUUGCGGGAAUUGAGACGUCAGGCAGCUGCUCUUGCAGCAGCUUGUGUCUUUUAAUGCAUAUGCAGGUGAUUUGGUGUGCUGCGCGCUGCUAUACGCUGCGCACACUCACCAAAGCCUCUCCUCAACCAAAUGUGAGAUAGCAUAUCGCACAAAGUAGCUGAAGAGGUCAAGCUUGCUACGCCCAGCGUGUGUUGCUGCUGCGCUGCAUUGCGCUUUGGCAACACUCUGCAACCUUUGAUUCGUGAUCUCAAAUC
Molecule: unclassified non-coding RNA, 400 nt
Filed under: uncultured fungus
Lineage: Eukaryota; Fungi
Description: sequence contains ITS1
Rfam family: 5.8S ribosomal RNA (bases 1-107)
Source: RNAcentral